UGAACGCUGGCGGCAUGCCUUACACAUGCAAGUCGAACGGCAGCGCGGGUGCUUGCACCUGGCGGCGAGUGGCGAACGGGUGAGUAAUACAUCGGAACGUGCCCUAGAGUGGGGGAUAACUAGUCGAAAGAUUAGCUAAUACCGCAUACGAUCUACGGAUGAAAGUGGGGGACCGCAAGGCCUCAUGCUCCUGGAGCGGCCGAUGUCUGAUUAGCUAGUUGGUGGGGUAAUGGCCUACCAAGGCGACGAUCAGUAGCUGGUCUGAGAGGACGACCAGCCACACUGGGACUGAGACACGGCCCAGACUCCUACGGGAGGCAGCAGUGGGGAAUUUUGGACAAUGGGGGCAACCCUGAUCCAGCCAUUCCGCGUGAGUGAAGAAGGCCUCGGUUGUAAGCUCUUCGUCAGGAGAAACUAUGAUCGAAUAAUACAUGAGGUUGACGGUACCGUUCGAUAAGAAGCACGGCGUAACUACGU
This 477-nucleotide ribosomal RNA is filed under the name uncultured beta proteobacterium. RNAcentral describes it as "bacterial SSU rRNA". It matches the Rfam family "Bacterial small subunit ribosomal RNA", at positions 30 to 506 of the family's 1533-position model. The record is from RNAcentral. Lineage: Bacteria; Pseudomonadati; Pseudomonadota; Betaproteobacteria.